UGGGGAAUAUUGCACAAUGGGCGCAAGCCUGAUGCAGCCAUGCCGCGUGUGUGAAGAAGGCCUUCGGGUUGUAAAGCACUUUCAGCGGGGAGGAAGGCGAUAAGGUUAAUAACCUUGUCGAUUGACGUUACCCGCAGAAGAAGCACCGGCUAACUCCGUGCCAGCAGCCGCGGUAAUACGGAGGGUGCAAGCGUUAAUCGGAAUUACUGGGCGUAAAGCGCACGCAGGCGGUCUGUCAAGUCGGAUGUGGAAUCCCCGGGCUUAACCUGGGAACUGCAUUCGAAAAUGGCAGGCUAGAGUCUUGUAGAGGGGGGUAGAAUUUCAGGUGUAGCGGUGAAAUGCGUAGAGAUCUGGAGGAAUACCGGUGGCGAAGGCGGCCCCCUGGACAAAGACUGACGCUCAGGUGCGAAAGCGUGGGGAGCAAACAGG
RNAcentral lists this ribosomal RNA (429 nucleotides) under Chloroflexota bacterium. RNAcentral describes it as "Chloroflexi bacterium partial 16S ribosomal RNA". It matches the Rfam family "Bacterial small subunit ribosomal RNA", at positions 355 to 776 of the family's 1533-position model. Lineage: Bacteria; Bacillati; Chloroflexota. The record is from RNAcentral.